AAACAAAUAACUUUUCUCGAAAUCAGAUAACUUCAUGAAAUUAUGAAUAUUAAUUCGCGAAAGAUGUCAGUUAUAUAAAAAUAGAUGCUCUUCAAUUGGUGAACAUUGUCUUUAUCCUACAGACCAAGAACUGGAGUGUACGUGCAUACUAUAGCAAGUAAUCAUGCCCGCAUACGAUAUUCAGGACGCCGAUCUUCGGGGUAUGUCAUCAUCACAGCUUAUUGUUUUGUAUCGUCAGAGAGGUUAUUCUAUACGUGAAAUUCUUGGAGUUAUGGCCAUACGACAUGGAACAAUAACAAGCGAACGAUCAAUUUUCCGAGUCUUGAGACGUUACCGCCUGACUAGAGGCCAAAGUCAGCACAGUCUCGACGAAAUUAUUCAAGAAAUAUUGCUUGAGUUAUCAGCUUCCGGUGAAAAUGCUGGUUACCGGCAAAUGCGUCAAAGACUCCUGAUUAAUCAUGGACUUGCAGCUACAUUUGAGAUGGUUCGUCUUAUUUUAGGACUCAUUGAUUCACAAGGUGCUGCCGAUGUACAUAUCUAGCUUUUAUUUAGAUUACAUUAGGGAAAUUGAUGGCAUUCCAGUUCGGGUUUACGGUGACGCGGUAUAGAAAAUUCUAUUGUCCGUGAUGUGCAAAUGGCAUUACGAUGGACAGACGCAGAUCAGUACCAGGGGAUGCAAAGUUUCGUCUAUGUUUCAUCUAACAGAAAUGUCUGAAUUGAGAGGUUUUGGCGAAGUCUUAGAGAAAUGUGUGGAAAUGUCUGGAUGAACCAUUUUAAAGAUAUGAGUGAUUUCGGAUUACUGGACACAUCUGAUAGUGUGCACUUAGAAUGCAUUAGAUAUUGUUUUCUUCUUGUCAUUAGUAAAGACCUCAAUGAAGUUUGCAAUAUUUGGAAUACUCAUUGUGUUCGUCGAAAUAACCGAAUUUCAUGUCCUGCAGGAAAACCUGAGGUGUUGUUCUUUCAGCCAGAAGUACAUGGCGCAAGAGAUUGUAAAAUAUCACUGGUUGACCAAAGGGAAUUAAAUGAUGUGGAACGGGAGUAUUCUCAACGCCCUCCAGAACUUGGUAUAUCACAAGAGUUCCUGACAAUUGCAAGAGCAGCUGUCGGAGAUUUGAAUCUUCAAUACCCACCUAGAAACAGAGAAGAAGGAACAGAGCUUUUUGCUGCAAUAAUCAUGUACAUUGAACGCCUCGUUUAACACGGAAAUGAAACAAAAAUGAACUUAAUGAUACUUCCUUACAAGCUGGCUAACUUGUGCAUUGGUUGACAAAAUGUCAAUUAAUAUAUAUAGUUGUGUCUGAAAGCAGAGCAAGUACUAGUUUUAAACAAGCUGUUGGCUUUGUAUGCGUUGUCAUUGCCAUGUAUGAUUGUGUGUCAAUAAAACAAUACAUGUUU
Long non-coding RNA from Dreissena polymorpha, 1395 nucleotides. RefSeq lists it as uncharacterized. The record is from RefSeq and is a predicted model, not a curated record. Lineage: Eukaryota; Metazoa; Mollusca; Bivalvia; Myida; Dreissenidae. The transcript is spliced from 2 exons.